UACGUAGGGGGCAAGCGGUGUCCGGAUUUACUGGGUGUAAAGGGCGCGCGGGCGGGUUUGUAAGUCGGUGGUGAAAGCCUGUGGCUUAACUGCAGAACUGCCAUUGAUACUGCAAAUCUUGAGUGCGGAAGAGAGAGACGGAAUUCCAGGUGUAGUGGUGAAAUACGUAGAUAUCUGGAAGAACACCAGUUGCGAAGGCGGUCUCUUGGUUCGUAACUGACGCUGAGGCGCGAAAGCGUGGGUAGCAAACAGG
RNAcentral lists this ribosomal RNA (253 nucleotides) under uncultured bacterium. RNAcentral's name for it is "partial 16S ribosomal RNA". It matches the Rfam family "Bacterial small subunit ribosomal RNA", at positions 524 to 776 of the family's 1533-position model. The record is from RNAcentral.